UACGUAGGGGGCAAGCGUUGUCCGGAAUCAUUGGGCGUAAAGCGCGUGUAGGCGGUCCGGUUAGUCGGCUGUGAAAGUCAAGGGCUCAACCCUUGAAUGCCGGUCGAUACUGCCGGACUAGAGUCCGGAAGAGGCAAGUGGAAUUCCCGGUGUAGUGGUGGAAUGCGUAGAGAUCCGGAGGAACACCAGCGGCGAAGGCGGCAUCCUGGACUGGUCCUGACACUCAGGAGCGAAAGCGUGGGGAGCGAUCCGG
Molecule: ribosomal RNA, 253 nt
Filed under: uncultured bacterium
Lineage: Bacteria
Description: partial 16S ribosomal RNA
Rfam family: Bacterial small subunit ribosomal RNA
Source: RNAcentral